UGNGAACUGGCUGACCACAAAAGUUAGAUGU
RNAcentral lists this non-coding RNA (31 nucleotides) under Mus musculus (house mouse). The record is from RNAcentral. Lineage: Eukaryota; Metazoa; Chordata; Mammalia; Rodentia; Muridae.